AGAGGAAGUAAAAGUCGUAACAAGGUUUCCGUAGGUGAACCUGCGGAAGGAUCAUUAUUGAAUAAACCUGAUGGACUGUUAGCUGGCUUUUCAAAGCAUGUGCUCGUCUGUCAUCUUUAUCUCUCCACCUGUGCACAUUUUGUAGUCUUGGAUACCUCUCGAGGCAACUCGGAUUUUAGGAUCGCCGUGCUGUACAAGUCGGCUUUUCUUUCAUUUCCAAGACUAUGUUUUUAUAUACACCAAAGUAUGUUUAAAGAAUGUCAUCAAUGGGAACUUGCUUCCUAUAAAAUUAUACAACUUUCAGCAACGGAUCUCUUGGCUCUCGCAUCGAUGAAGAACGCAGCGAAAUGCGAUAAGUAAUGUGAAUUGCAGAAUUCAGUGAAUCAUCGAAUCUUUGAACGCACCUUGCGCUCCUUGGUAUUCCGAGGAGCAUGCCUGUUUGAGUGUCAUUAAAUUCUCAACCUUCCAACUUUUAUUAGCUUGGUUAGGCUUGGAUGUGGGGGUUGCGGGCUUCAUUAAUGAGGUCGGCUCUCCUUAAAUGCAUUAGCGGAACUUUUGUGGACCGUCCAUUGGUGUGAUAAUUAUCUACGCCGUGGAUGUGAAACAGCUUUAUGAAGUUCUGCUUCUAAUCGUCCAUUGACUUGGACAAUUUUGACAAUUUGACCUCAAAUCAGGUAGGACUACCCGCUGAACUUAAGCAUAUC
This 704-nucleotide ribosomal RNA is filed under the name Laccaria proxima. RNAcentral's name for it is "eukaryotic LSU rRNA". The stretch from base 296 to 449 matches the Rfam family "5.8S ribosomal RNA". The record is from RNAcentral. Lineage: Eukaryota; Fungi; Basidiomycota; Agaricomycetes; Agaricales; Hydnangiaceae.